RNAcentral lists this unclassified non-coding RNA (308 nucleotides) under uncultured fungus. RNAcentral's name for it is "partial contains small subunit ribosomal RNA, internal transcribed spacer 1, and 5.8S ribosomal RNA". The stretch from base 1 to 73 matches the Rfam family "Eukaryotic small subunit ribosomal RNA", at positions 1759 to 1831 of the family's 1831-position model. Lineage: Eukaryota; Fungi. The record is from RNAcentral.
GCAAACUUGGUCAUUUAGAGGAAGUAAAAGUCGUAACAAGGUUUCCGUAGGUGAACCUGCGGAAGGAUCAUUACGAGGUUUUUCGCAAAACCCCCUAUCUCCCACUGUGUGCACCGGUCGAAAUUUGGUGAAGGGAAAGGAGAGAAAGGGGGGCGACUCUCCCGAGAGCGUCCUCCUUUUUCUUCUUCCUUUUUCCUUCUUUCUUUUUUCACUCUAGCCUGAACGCUCUGUCUGAGAAAAUCUUGAGAAAUCGCAAAACAACUUUCAACAACGGAUCUCUUGGCUCUCGCAUCGAUGAAGAACGCAGC